CGGCUCCCCAGUGGGGCGUGCGCUCGGCGUCUCUGAAAAUGCGGCUGAGCAAACGGUGAAAGAGGAAAAAGACCGAGAAUCCAAGAGUUUGGUUAAUCAAGUCUAGGCAGCCCUCAAGCAAGCUGUGGUGGGAAGGGAGCCCAGGAGACAAGUUCAUUGCCUGUGCAACUGCCAGGCCUGCGGUCGCCUUGGGAUGCAUGACAGUGAGUGGAGCAGACUCCCUGGACCAGCCUCUGCUUGUAUAAAAAGCACCCCGAGGAUCCUGCUGCCCAGUGGCCCACUGUGAGAGCCAGCCCUCCUGACCGUGCCCCCAGCACCAGAUCUAAGAAAGACCCUGCGGGGGAGGGGCAUGGAAGCGGUGGUUGUGGCCCAGACUGAAGGCACUGGGUACAGAGGCUGUAGCACCUGGGUGGACUCUGCCUGAAGACCACUCUGGCUCAUCUCAUUCACAGCAGAAUCCCUAGGAUCUUACUCUGGAAGGAAUGAAUGCAUCGAUGGAUGGGUGCCCCACUUUGCUCCUUAUCAUCAUCACCCAACCACCUGCCUGUGCCACACCUCCUAGCCACACUUGGAGCAGGAACCUUGGGCAUAUUGACCUCCGUUUCCCUACCUAAUAAAGCAAUUCAAUUCUCAGCUAAGAACCACCUGCAAUAAACAUUUCAUUUCCCAGUCUCUCUUGAGGUACGGCUACAAAAUAAAAUUCAGACAUUAAAUAAAAUUCGUCACAGACAUUAAGCAGAACUUGUAUGGACUUCCAAAUUUUAUUAAAGUUAGGGGCAAGCCUCUUAUGCCUUCCUCCUUUCUGCUGGCUGGGAUGCAAAGAUCAUGGCAGGAGGCCAAGCAGCCAUCCUGGAGAGUGAGGAAGCCACACACUGAGGAUGAGGGCAAAAAGCCUGGGUGCCUUGAUCAUGUUGAGGAGUCUUCCCCCCCAAUCUGGCCUGCCUACCUAGAUAUCUUUUUAGAGAGAAAACUUCAUUCUUGCAAUAAGCCAAAAAGAACAUUUUGCGUUUUCUUUCACAAGAGUUGAAUCGAGGUCAGACUGACCCAUUAAUGUUAUCUCCACUUACAGAGACGAGAAAAGCUUACCCAGACGCAGCCAGUGUGAGCCAGGGUUCAAACACAACUCUGAUUCCUUACCUCCAGGUUCCAACACUCACCCAGGCUUCCUUGAGAAGUACACAGGAUUCGUACAGAGUAAGAAGACCUUGCAUUUUCCUUACAGACCACAGAAUCCUUACAGGAUUUUCUGGAGUGGUGAGGAUUUCUCACUUAGGAGAGGAUGCUUCUGUCCUUUUGUUUUAUCCCUGAAUUGGCACAGUCUCCCUCCAAUCCCAGUAUGUCUUUAGAAUCACUAACCACAACUGCUUCCCCCGAGGCUGCUGGGAAGGCAAGGAUUUGACUCUUAGUUGUCCAAGAUAAACACUGCCGGGAACACAACCCAACCACCUCGCCUCCAUCCAGGAAAGUCCUAUAGGUCAGAAGAGACUGCUUAGACUGGCACUUGGCAUCAAUCUGAACUUUGAUGCUGUAAAUCAGGCAGAGAAAUUAAAUGAUCAGGGCAGGCUGGCAAGGGUAGGUCUGGGAUCCUGAAAUACUCCUCAGCUCCUCCAGAGCAAAGCUGCAAGACUGUCCCUUUGCUUUAGAUGUUAUAAACUACCAGAGUAUGGUUCAAAGUGUCUCCGGGAAGAACAGAUUAAGACCAUUGUGGACUUCCCAGGUGGUCCAGUAGUUAAGACUCUGCCUGCCAAUGCACGGGACACAGGUUAAAUCUCUGGUCU
Molecule: long non-coding RNA, 1778 nt
Organism: Capra hircus (goat)
Lineage: Eukaryota; Metazoa; Chordata; Mammalia; Artiodactyla; Bovidae
Exons: 3
Source: RefSeq, a predicted model, not a curated record